GCUGACACGUGGGCCCCACAUACUCAGUCACGGCUGGAACGUGGCUCAUGCAUGCCUCAGCUGUAUUUCAUGUGUGGCUCACCUGAGGUUCAUGUGUGGUUCAAGCAUUGAACAUGUGUGCUUCCCAUGUGGUUCACAUGUGCUUCAGGGUGCCUCACAUGUGGUUCAGGCAUGGUUCAGUUGUGGCUCACACACGGUUCAGAUGUAAUUCAGGCAUGGCUCACACGUGACUUGUGUGGGUCACAAAUGCUGCAGGAGACUUUCACACAUGAUUUAGGCAUGGCCCACACAUGGUUCAGGUGCAGCUCAGCCAAGGCUCACAUGUGAUGCAGGCACGCCACAGAACUGGGUCACAUGUGGCUGAUGCAAGAUUCAGGCGUUUGUCAUGCAUGGCUCCCACACGGCUGAGGUGUGGCUCAUGCAUGGCUGUGGUGCUGCUCAGGCGUGGAACACACUUGUUUGUGGCAUUUUGGCACAUGGUUCAGGCAUGGCAGGCAAGUGGCUCCAGCGUGGCUGCCACGUGCUUCAAGUGAGGCUGGCGUGUGGUUAAAUUGGAUCUGGCACAUGGUACAGUCAUGGCUGGCAUGUGACUUCGGCAUGGCUGAGAUGAGACUCAGGCGUGGCUCACACGUUUUUCAGGCAUGGCUUACACAUGACUCAGGUGAGGCAGCCACGUGACACAGGCGUACCUGUCACAUCACGCAGGUGUGGCUCGUACCUGGUACAUGCACGGCCUUCAUGUGGCUCAGGGGUGGCUGGUGCAUGGUUUACGCAUGGGUGCCAGGUGUUUCAGGUGUGGCUGACACAUGACACAGGCACAACUGACACGUGACACAGGCAUUCAUAGGACUUUAUCCAUUCAUGGCAGACAUGUGCUUCAUGCAUGGGUGAUGUGUUGUCCGUGUGUGGGACACACGUGAAUCACUUUUUGCUGACCUAUGGCUCCCACCUACUCAGACGUGCCUGGCACGUGGCUCACACAGGGCCCAGUCAUGUUUCACGUGUGGCUCUGUUGUGGCUCACGUGUCAUUCAGGCAUUGAAGAUGGGUGCUUCACUCGUGGUUCCCAUGUGGUUCAAGUGUGACACAUGUGGUUCAGUCAUGGUUCAGGUGUGGCUACCAAAGGGUUCAGGUAUAACCCAGGUGUCGCUCACAUACGGCUCAUGUGUGUGUCACCUAUGGUUGAGGAUUGUUUCACCCGUGAUUCAGGCGUGGCUGACAUGUUGUGCAGGCAUGGCUCAGCCAUGGCUCACAUGUAGUUCAGGCGAGCCUCAGACCAGGGCCAGGUGUGGCUGACACAUGAUUCAGGAGUUUGUCACACAUGGUUAACACAUGUCUCAGGUUAGGCUCACGCCAUGCUUGGGCGUGUCUCUGGCAUGGUUGCCACGUGGCUCAGGCAAGUCUGACACGAGAUUCAGGCGUUGCUGGCAUGUGUUUCAGUCAUGGGAUUAAGUCGUGUCACACACGGGUUCCAGUGGUAUGUGAUGCUUCGUUCAGGCCGCAGUGACACGUGAUUGCUGUGUGGCUGACACUUGGUGUGUCACAGUUGACACAUGGCUUAGGCGUGGCUGACAUGUGGUUCAGAUGUGGGUGACAGGUGAUUCAGGUGUGGCUGGCAAUUUUCGGAUGUGGGGCUGACACAUGA
This 1644-nucleotide long non-coding RNA is filed under the name Equus caballus (horse). RNAcentral describes it as "lncRNA (ENSECAG00000056783.1)". Lineage: Eukaryota; Metazoa; Chordata; Mammalia; Perissodactyla; Equidae. The record is from RNAcentral.